CGGUUGAUCCUGCCGGAGGAUGCUGCUAUUAGAAUUCGACUAAGCCAUGUGAGUCUCUGGUCCUUGUGGCCAGGGCGAACUGCUGAGUAACAUGUGGUUAAUCUGCCCUUGAGUUUAGGAUAACCUUGGGAAACUGAGGAUAAUACUAGAUAGGAGAUUUGUUCUGGAAAGAUAUUUCUCUGAAAGUUUCGGCGCUCAAGGAUGAGACUGCACUGGAUUAGGUUGAUGUUAGGGUAAAAGCCUACCAUGCCAAUAAUCCAUAGGGGCCGUGAGAGCGGGAGCCCCCAGACGGGUUCUGAGAUACUAACCCGGGCCCUACGGGGCGCAGCAGGCGCGAAACCUCCACAAUGCACGCAAGUGUGAUGGGGGGAUUCUAAGUGCUGGCGCUUUGCGUCAGCUUUUCUUAAGUCUAAAUCGCUUGAGGAAUAAGUGGUGGGUAAGACCGCUGCCAGCCGCCGCGGUAAUAGCGGCGCCACGAGUGGCAUCCACGAAUAUUGGGUUUAAAGCAUCUGUAGCCGGCUUGGUAAGUCUACUGUGAAAUCCUGCAGAAAACUGCAGGGCGUGCGGUAGAAACUAUUUAGCUUGGGACCAGAAGAGGUCAGAGGUACUCCUAGGGUAGCGGUAAAAUGUUGUAAUCCUAGGGAGACCACCUGUGGCGAAGGCGUCUGACUGGAAUGGAUCCGACGGUGAGGGAUGAAAGCUAGGGGAGCGACCCGGAUUAGAUACCCGGUUAGUCCUAGCUGUAAACGAUGCUCACUUGGUAUU
This 765-nucleotide ribosomal RNA is filed under the name uncultured archaeon. RNAcentral describes it as "bacterial SSU rRNA". It matches the Rfam family "Archaeal small subunit ribosomal RNA", at positions 5 to 775 of the family's 1478-position model. The record is from RNAcentral.